This 253-nucleotide ribosomal RNA is filed under the name uncultured bacterium. RNAcentral describes it as "partial 16S ribosomal RNA". It matches the Rfam family "Bacterial small subunit ribosomal RNA", at positions 524 to 776 of the family's 1533-position model. The record is from RNAcentral.
GACGGGGGGUCCUAGCGUUGUUCGGAAUCAUUGGGCGUAAAGCGUGUGCAGGCUGUUCGAUAAGUUGGAUGUGAAAGCCUUGGGCUUAACCCAAGAAGUGCAUUCAAAACUAUCAGACUUGAGUACGGAAGAGGAUCGUGGAAUUCCCGGUGUAGUGGUGAAAUGCGUAGAGAUCGGGAGGAACACCUGUGGCGAAGGCGGCCCCCUGGGCCGGCCCUGACACUGAGACGCGAAGGCGUGGGGAGCGAACGGG